GGUGCCUUUUUUCCUGGAUACCCUUUCCAAUGCUUGUCCAGCAUACAUAACACUUUCUUUUUACUCCUAGUCGGCAUUGGAGAUGCCAGUGAGUAAGCCUGAUCUCUAGUGUUAUAUUUGAUGGUCCCCCGUACGUGUAUCUCUGGUUAUAUAUAUAUAGCAAUAAGGUAAUGUCAACGGUAAUUGAAAAUAGCAGAAAUGUUUUUGACAAUUUUGAAGGGCCAAGUUGACGGUUCAGUGACACAUUGAAUGAUUUAAAAUUCAAAUAGCUUUAUUAUAUUCACCACUUUGAAGAAGACAUUUACGGCCACUUCAAUAUUUGUGAUUAAAUAUAUACUGUUGUAUAUAUUGAUCACAUUUGUCGACUCAAUAUCGCUUUUUCUAUGUACAUUAUUUAUUAUGAUUUGCCUAGUUAAUAUAUUCGAUUAAUGCAUUAUUGAUGACACCAAAUUAUAAGAUAUUCAUGCAUAUCCUGUUUAAUACAAAUGCUGUUUGAAAACUUCUUCAUUUGUUCUUCCAGUGCCAGAAUUUGCGUUUCUUGAUAUGAUUUCCUAUAGUUCAGGUUCUUGCUUACAAUGAACCAAUGAACGUGUUAUAUCGAUAUUUUCCUCUUGUAACCACAACUCUGUUGACUGCUCCGUUAUCUAGAAAUAUUUUGAAAAAUAGUAAUACCAGCUAAAACAGAACACAUAGUUAAAAGCUUUUAACUUUUUACCGAUUGAUAUCCCUGAAAAAGUAAAGGAACACAUUUAUAUUUUUACAGAGUCUAUAAUUGUUCACUAAUGAUGCAGAAUGUGCAUAAUGUUUUCGGCACCAUAUGUUUACCACGGUAUUUAUAUUUAG
RNAcentral lists this long non-coding RNA (843 nucleotides) under Mytilus galloprovincialis (Mediterranean mussel). The record is from RNAcentral. Lineage: Eukaryota; Metazoa; Mollusca; Bivalvia; Mytilida; Mytilidae.